Molecule: long non-coding RNA, 526 nt
Filed under: Capsicum annuum
Lineage: Eukaryota; Viridiplantae; Streptophyta; Magnoliopsida; Solanales; Solanaceae
Description: long non-coding RNA (CANN_LNC008248)
Source: RNAcentral
AAGGGGUGAUGGGGCUGGAAAGGCUUAACAUACAGUUUUUCACAAAGCAUAUUUACAAGAGCAUAAUAGUCAGUAAAAAAGGUGAAAUACUAUCUAGCCUAUUUAAUUCAACCAACAAAAAGUGCCCAACAAAAUGGAAGGAUCCUAGGUUGAAUCAAUCUUAGAGAAAGUGCUUGAACUUCAUUCCAUAUUCACCUACAAAAAGAAAAGGAUGAGUAUACAAAAAAGGAUAACCAACUAUAGUAGUACAACUUACUAGAUGAAAGGAUGAGCUACCAGGAGACUUGAUCCUAUAAAGUGUUGCAGUCUUACACCAUCUAUCAAAAAGCUCAGCUGGGAAAAAGAAAGAUCAAACAAAGAAACAGUGAAAUAAAAAACAAGAAAGAAAAGGAAAAAAUAACUCUUGAUAGCUGAUAAAGCAUGAAAUGGUAGGUUUAAACCAAGAAUGUUGAUCACCCUAAGAAGAAGAGUAAUGAAUGUGGAGUUAGCAUGUGGCGACAACAUCGAUACAGAUGUAAGGGUUAGG